RNAcentral lists this ribosomal RNA (762 nucleotides) under uncultured prokaryote. RNAcentral describes it as "bacterial SSU rRNA". It matches the Rfam family "Bacterial small subunit ribosomal RNA", at positions 706 to 1482 of the family's 1533-position model. The record is from RNAcentral.
ANUCCGAUUGCGAAGGCAGCUUGCUGGACUGUAACUGACGCUGAGGCACGAAAGCGUGGGGAUCAAACAGGAUUAGAUACCNUGGUAGNCCACGCCGUAAACGAUGAAUGCUAGCUGUUAGCGAUAUACUGUUAGCGGCACAGAGAAAUCGUUAAGCAUUCCACCUGGGGAGUACGCCGGCAACGGUGAAACUCAAAGGAAUUGACGGGGGCCCGCACAAGCGGAGGAACAUGUGGUUUAAUUCGAUGAUACGCGAGGAACCUUACCUGGGCUUAAAUUGCAGUGGAAUAACGUGGAAACAUGUUAGCCUUCGGGCCGCUGUGAAGGUGCUGCAUGGUUGUCGUCAGCUCGUGCCGUGAGGUGUCGGCUUAAGUGCCAUAACGAGCGCAACCCUCAUCGAUAGUUACUAACAGGUUAAGCUGAGGACUCUAUCGAGACUGCCGACGUAAGUCGUGAGGAAGGUGGGGAUGACGUCAAAUCAGCACGGCCCUUACGUCCAGGGCUACACACGUGUUACAAUGGGGGGUACAAAGGGCAGCUACCUGGCGACAGGAUGCUAAUCUCAAAAACCUCUCUCAGUUCGGAUUGGAGUCUGCAACCCGACUCCAUGAAGCUGGAUUCGCUAGUAAUCGCGCAUCAGCCACGGCGCGGUGAAUACGUUCCCGGGCCUUGUACACACCGCCCGUCAAGCCAUGGGAGCCGGGGGGACCUGAAGUAUGCAACCGUAAGGAGCGUCCUAGGGUAAAACUGGUGACUGGGGCU